RNA transcript from Labeo rohita (rohu), 6016 nucleotides. RefSeq lists it as uncharacterized. Lineage: Eukaryota; Metazoa; Chordata; Actinopteri; Cypriniformes; Cyprinidae. The transcript is spliced from 2 exons. The record is from RefSeq and is a predicted model, not a curated record.
AACUGUUGAAUGCAGAUGUUAUUUUUUUGUCUGUUUGAGUUUGUUGUAUUUGAAGGGAUCCUAUUGUGUCCCUUUUUAGAAGAUAAAAAAGGUAAAAGAUAAAAGCUAGGUGUUUUCAAACUUUUUUUCUCAGCCAAACCACUUUGGCCUUAAUUAACCCUCUGAGAAUUAUUAUUAUUAUUGAUAUUUUGUGCAGAUACAACAUCUUAUAUAUACAAAAAAUAGUAAUUUACCAUUCUGCUUCACAUUACACCCCCAAUCCCCCUAACAUCCCAAAUACACAACACAAACAAACAUACUGUACGUGCAGUUAUUAAGUGAUACAUUAAAUGUACAAAGAACAAAACAAAACAAAAAAAGUAAAUAAAUAAAUAAAUAAAAAGUUAAUCCUCUUCUGCAUCUUCAAGUGACAGAUCAAUAGUUGAAUCAAUAGUUGAUCAAUAGUCAAAGAUGUCCAUGUUUCAUGAAAAGUUUUUAAAGUCCCUUUUAAUGAAAAACAUUUUUUUUCCAGUUUUAAAGACAAAAAAAAAUAUUUUAUCCAUCUAUCAUAUGAGGGAUGGCGUGCGUGUUUCUACUUAAGGAGAAUAAGCCUCCUAGCUAAUAGUGUGGUGAAAGCAACAACAUCUUGUGUUGCUGAAGGCAAAUUUGUCUUAAAACAAAUUCCAAACAGAGCUGUAAAAGGGUUUGGAGUGGCUGAUAUGUUAAAGGUUUUGUUCAAAGGUAUCAAAUAUUUUAGACCAAAACUCUGUUAAUCUUGGACAAGACCAAAACAUGUGAGUGUGAUUUGCUGGAGACUGUCGGCACCUAUUGCAAGUGUUACUUCUGUCUGGAUAUAUUUUGGUUAAUCUGGCAUUACUGUAGUGUGCUAUGUGAAGAAUCUUGCAAUGCAUCAAACUGUGUCGGGCACAUAAAGGAAGAGUGUACUAAAUCGAGCAUAUAGUCCCACUCUAUUUCGCUUAUAGUAAUCCCCAGCUCUUGUUCCCAGGUCUUGUUGAGUGGUUCAGAGGGGUCAGAAUUUAGAGAAUCUAUUGAUUAAAUGAUGGAGAUUAGCCCUCUUUUGUCUGGGCUAAGAGAGAGAAUUGUGUCCAUUUUUGAAUCAGACAGAAAAUUAGGGAAACUGAGGAAACUGAUUUUGAACAAAAUGUCCAAUCUGAAAGAAGUGAAAAAAGAUGGGUUUUAGGAAGAUUAAACUUUUCGGACAAUUCUGAAAAUGAUAAGAAUAUAUCUUUAUCAUACAAGUCCUUGAUGGUACUAAUACCCCUAGAAGACCAGUUGCAAAAAACGGAAUCAGAACAUGAUGGUAGAAAAGAUAAAUUGUUUACUAUAGGUGGAAGAAUUGACAGAUUGAUUAACCCAAAAUGCUUAAUAAAUGCUAAAAUGCUAAAUAAAAUUUACCAAUAUUUUAAGAGUAUUGGUCACCACUAAACUGUCUGAGACAUUUUUACUUCUUAUAGGAAGCUGAGAGCAAAUCACUGAAUGCAGGGAAUAUUUUGAGGAUGACAAUUCUAUUUGGGUCCAGAUAGGAUAUUCAGGAACUCCUGAAGUGUUAGUCCAAUAUAACAGCUUGCUAAUAUUACAGGCCCAGUAAUACUGUUGAAAAUUUGGUAAGGCAAGGCCCCCUUUUUAUUUUGGUAGUUCAAGAACCUUUCUUCUUAUUUGUGCAUUUUUGCCACUCCACAAAAAAGAGGUAGUUGUCUGAUUCAGAGUAACAAAAAAGACUGAUUAAUAUAAAUGGGUAUAUGCUGGAAGAAAUAUAAAAAUGUAGGCAAAAUUGUCAUUUUAACCCAAUACAGCCAAUUAGCGAUAUUGGAAGAGAGGCCCAUCUCUGUAUAUCUUCCUUUUAAGCAACUAACAGAGGAUUAAAAUUUUUCCUGAAAAUACCUGUGACUGAUUUGGUGAUAAAUACACCUAAAUAUCUGAAUCCUUUGUGAGCCCACUUAAAUGGAAAAGGAUAUUUAGACAGCGUUUCAGCUGCUGCAUUGAUUGGGAACACUUCGCUCUUUUGAAGACUUAAUUUGUAACCAGAAAAUUUGACAAACAAAUAAAAAAUGUGGAGGAUAGGCGGUACUGAUGACGCUGGGUUAGUUAUAUAUAAAAGAAGGUCAUCUGCAUAGAGGGACAAUUUAUAAGAGGUUCCAAACCAAGUAAUGCCUUCAAACUUUUCCUCACUUCACAGCCAAAUGGCCAAUGGCUCUAUAGCCAAUGCAAAUAAUAGAGGCGAAAGAGGGCAACCUUGGCAUGUACCUCAGCCCAGGGGAAAGGUUUUAGAAUGUGUUGCAUUGGUGUGCACAGAUGCAACAGGGGAGGAGUAUAAUAAUCAAAUCCAUGUUAUAAAAUUUGAGCUGAAAGCAAAUUUACCUAAAUUGAAAAACAAAUACCCCCAUUCAACAGGGUUGAAUGCCUUAUCAUCAUCGAGGGACAGUAUAACCUCAGCAUUGUCAGAAAUUGGGAGAAAGGAUAGUAUUAAAAAGUCUUUGUGUAUUAUAAAAAGGAUGUCCAGUCGGCCUGUAACUACUACAGAGCAGUGGAUCUUUGUCUUUCUUUAGUAACAAUGAAAUGGAUGCCUCAGACAUGGUUGUUGGGAGCCAACCUGAAAGAAAGGCCUCAUUAUAUACUCUUUGAAUUGGGGCUAGAACAGAAGAGAAAGUCUUAAAAAAUUCUUAAACUUUUAAAAGUCUUAAAAGUCUUAAAAUACUAAAGCCAUCAGGGCCAGGAGAUUUACCAUUUUGAAGUGAAUGAAUUGCCUCUUGUACUUUCGUGGUAGACACAGGCGUGCCCAAAUCAUUUGUGGAGCCAUCAUUUACGCAAGAGAAUAUUAGUUGAUCAAAGGGGUUUGGGUCAUUCCAUAUUUUUGAGUCGCAUUCUGAGGAAUAAAGAUCUAUGUAAUAUUUUGAAAAAAUUUAAUUAAUUUCCUCCGGAUCAGAAACUAUAUCACCCUUAGCAGAUUUAAUUUGGGGAUCAGUUUAGAUGUGCGAACAUGAACAUGAACUUGCGUACCUCUACAGAUACCUUACUUUCUUUUUCACUCCUAUUUAACCUGCAAACCUUAUAUUUUUCCCAAUAAAAUAUUUUAACCCCCAAAUAAUAUACAUAAAUGUAUUUUUAACAGCCCAUCGAAAGAAGCUUGUUCUUCAGUCACAAAUCAGGUGUUAUGCAACAGCUAGGUCUACAAUUUCGAAGGCUAUUCAAAGACAUUAGAGACUCUUAAAACCAAACGGAUGCAAAAAAACAUCAGCUAAACAAGACAGCAGGUAAGGGCAUCAUGGAACAGAUAACCAUAAUCUGUAUUAAAUCAAUACAGAUCCCACCUUGCAUAGUUCCACUACAAUAGGUGUCUAUUCAGCAUAUGUUUGCGCCACUUCCGGCAUUAUGAUUCCAAUGACAUGAAUGUCAGGCACAUCAGAUUAUUGAGAACCUCCGCGCUGAGAAUCCAGAUACGAUUGCCCUCUUCCGCCGACAGAAACCACUUGUUGCUCCCUUCUUUGGUCGUUAUACGAAGCCUUGCUGGAUACAAAGGAGCCGGUUUAAAUCCCUGUUUGUACAUUUCGACCAUGACUUCAUGAUACUGAGCCCGCUGUUCCAUGACUUCAGGGCUGUAAUCUUCGUAGAUGGCGAUUGGUUUCCCUUGAUACUGUGGUUCGCCUCGCUUUUUACGUGCCUCGCAAAUGACUUUAUCUUCUAACUGGUAGCAAUAAAAGUGGACCACAACUGCUCUUGGUCUCUCCCCUGGUUUAGGUUCAGCGGUGAGAGAUCUGUGCACCCAGUCUAGCUCUGAGGGGAAGAUAGAAUCUGAUCGCCAAAAACCUCAAAAAACCUUCUAUCGACUCAGGCUCCGAUUAUCCUUAUGUUGUUCCGUCUACUCCGCGCUUCCAGACCGGUGGUGUUGGUUUUGAGCUUUGCGUUGCUCUCCGUUAGUGUUGCAAGGGAAGUUUCUAGACGUUCCACGUGCUCAUCCAGCAACUCCACAUGUGACUCUAGUGUGGUAAGUCUGUCCAUGAUCAGUAACCGUGGCUUGCACACAGUCAAGUUUCACUUCUAGUGUUGAGAUCACAGCCUUGAACUUGGCCGCUAAGGCCUCUCUAUGCUCUUCCAGCAAGUCUGCUAGAGCUGCCAUGCUCACUUCACCUGAUGACACCUCAUGGUAGCUUCUUUCUUAGAGGUUUUCGCCAUUUUACUUGCCAUUUUAGACAGACACUUAAUCAGAAGUCGUUGUAACGAAGUUCGUAGAAUGAGGAGGAGGCGGGAACCGGCAAACAUUCAAACACUUUAAUCAUAAAUUAAACAAACACAAAAGUAAAGCGGCAGCCCCUCACGGACGACUGCCACACACAAAACGCAAAAUAACGUCCAGGCCUGGUCCUCUCUCGUCUUCCACUGUCGUCGCUCCUCUUUUUAUCCUUCCAGAGCUCCUCCGUGGGACUCGAGACCAAUGAGUGGCUCAGGUGUCGCUCAUUAUCAUUAUACUCCACCGGCCUCGUUCCGUUCCCACGGCUUUCGGCCCCGCCCCACUCAUCACAGUCGUCUAGUUAUUUUUUAUAGUUUGUCAGAAAAAUGGGUGGGGUAGUUUUAAAAAAUAUGAAUGGGGAAGUCCACCCCCUGAGAUUUUAACUAAAUAUUUCAAUAAUUUAACUGCACAUUUGCAUGUUUACUUCAAGAACGUUUCUUUUAUUAACCCAAUUUUAAGUUUUUAUCAGGAUGAGUUUACAUAGCUAUUGAUAAAAUGGCUAAACAUUUCAAAUCACGAUUUUAGCGACCAAAAUGAUCAGAGUUAUCAGUAUUAUCACAGUAUUGUUAAAAUGUGCUGGAAAUGUUCAAAACCACUCAGAAACACUGAAAUCAUUUCACAUCCAACCGAUUUUAAACCAAUAAAAAUAUUGGUUGGGUGACUUGCACUUUAUCAUGUUAUCUACUAUAACGUACGUCAUGUUCAAGUAAAAUUUUAUAAAAUUAUAAACAUCACAUUUCAGCCUUUAAAUAUAUAUUUUUUAAUGAUACAUCAUAGGCAUUUUAUCUGCUCUAUAAACAGUUUUACAUAGGCUACCUUGUUAGCGAAGUGUUGAGAUUUUUUUUUUUUUUAAAUGCACAAUGUACCAAUGUUCCAUGUACCGGUUAAGGUUUACAACAAAAAUUUGGUCCAACUGAGGGAACGAGGUGUUACAACAAAUAGCUGACGCUGUGGGAAAACACCUCUGAUAGCUAUAAACAGAUGAUAGCCCCUAAACACAUUGCUUCAUAGUAGGACAUUACUGUCAUAUGAAAGAACCAUCACCACCAAACAGAAUAAUCAUACAUAUUUUACAGUAGUAACCUGCUGGCAUAUGGCACAUAGCCAUAAGUGUAAGUACUGUAUACAACGCCACAACAGCUUAGGUCAGACUACACUGGAUGUGUUGCAUGGCUUGUAAUGAUUGGAAAAUCCGUUUGUCCUUCAUGUCAGACAGCGCGAGCGCUUGGAGUACAUCUGUACAUCACAAAUAUACCAGGGCAUCACUUACUUUCCACAUCCACUGUAAAUAGUAUAUAUAAUGGGUUCUAUAUUGUCCCUUGUCGAGUCGCGCAGUGCCGCGCCAUGCCACUCGUGUCUGAGGAAGACACGGAAGCAGCGGGGAAGCACCGCAUCUUUUGCCCGGGGAUAAACUUGCGAGAGUGGAAGAGUUCCGGAAAACAUCUACGCUGUGUAUUGAUGCACCUUAUGAGAGAAUAAGACCAGCAAAGAAGAGAAGACAUUUCUGUCACUAACAAAGUGGAUGGUGAGCAAGAGUGGUGGCCACGUUUUGGAGCAGCACCUGGGUUUUGCAGAUGGCUGUGUAUUCUUUGGCUGCUUGUCUUUACCCCCAUUAUGUUUCUGUUGCCUAAAGAUUCUUUGUGAGGAUAAAUCCAGAGGAUACAACAUAAUACACUGCAAAACGUCCUAAGACAGGAGAAAAGGUGAAGAUGCACUGUUCCAGCAUUGGAAGACUGUAUUUUUAAGUGUUAUACAUGCAAUGUUUUAAAUAAAGAAUUUGAUGUUUUGUAA